GACGAACGCUGGCGGCGUGCUUAACACAUGCAAGUCGAACGGAAAGGCCCUGCUUGCAGGGUACUCGAGUGGCGAACGGGUGAGUAACACGUGGGUGAUCUGCCCUGCACUUCGGGGUAAGCCUGGGAAACUGGGUCUAAUACCGGAUAGGAGCCAUUUUUAGUGUGAUGGUUGGAAAGUUUUUUCGGUGUAGGAUGAGCUCGCGGGCUAUCAGCUUGUUGGUGGGGUAAUGGCCUACCAAGGCGGCGACGGGUAGCCGGCCUGUGAGGGUGGACGGCCACAUUGGGACUGAGGGACGGCCCAGACUCCUACGGGAGGCAGCAGUGGGGAAGAUUGCACAAUGGGCGCAAGCCGGAUGCAGCGACGCCGCGUGGGGGAUGACGGCCUUCGGGUUGUAAAAUCCUUUCGCUAGGGACGAAGCUUUUUGUGACGGUACCUAGAUAAGAAGCACCGGCUAACUACGUG
RNAcentral lists this ribosomal RNA (465 nucleotides) under uncultured bacterium. RNAcentral describes it as "partial 16S ribosomal RNA". It matches the Rfam family "Bacterial small subunit ribosomal RNA", at positions 28 to 507 of the family's 1533-position model. The record is from RNAcentral.